Molecule: transfer RNA, 24 nt
Filed under: Alytes obstetricans boscai
Lineage: Eukaryota; Metazoa; Chordata; Amphibia; Anura; Alytidae
Description: partial tRNA-Ser
Source: RNAcentral
CGAGAAAAGAAGGAAUCGAACCCC